This 697-nucleotide long non-coding RNA is filed under the name Zonotrichia albicollis (white-throated sparrow). RNAcentral describes it as "lncRNA (ENSZALG00000006323.1)". The record is from RNAcentral. Lineage: Eukaryota; Metazoa; Chordata; Aves; Passeriformes; Passerellidae.
GAGAUUCUUUACCUGAGAUCAAGACAUCCUUCCUUACCCCAGGCAGAGAGAUACCUUCUUUGCAACACAUCCUCUGUAAGGACCAUUACUGCUGGCUCACCCUCCCAACUGGAACUCCGUCCCCAGACUCGGCUGGCCAGAUGUGGUCUCUGGUACGAGCAUUCCCUGAAAGCUGCUAUAGAGGAUCCAAACUGCCUGGAGUCCUGGGCUGCAGCCAGUUUGCAAGCAAUCAACCCACAACACCAUCCAUCCAGGGGAAGGAGCAGAAGAGACUUCAGAGGAGGAUAUAAAAAAGGUACAAUGUAGGAGGGGGAAACCUUCCCCUGCUGAGUCUCUCCUUUCUUCAAAGUGCAGUCUCAUUCCUGGGAGUGGUCUGCAACAGAGCAUUGCUCACCCUGGCCUCUUCGCUCUGGUUUCUAACAGCUUAUCAGGUGACUGACUGCAGCAGCUCAAGUUGCAAAGAUGGGGGAACACUCAAGCCAGUGUUAGGAGUAGUUAUGCAUGCACAUAAAUCAUGCAUGUGAAUCCUGAACCAUAUAUGGAACUGCAAAAGACCAAAGAAAGUAAUUUCUGCAGUUCAAAUAAUGAUUAUUCCAAUUUCAAAAAAUAUCUAGGUUACCAAAGGUUUAUUUGAACCAAUCUUGAAAGACAAACAAAAUCAUAUGAUGAAAUAAAGCUAAGCCUGCUAAAUGGAACA